ACCCACCCACCCGCUCUCUUUUAGCAAGGGACGAGUUAAUUGAUUUGUUUACUGGCACAACCGUCAAAAUACCGGUACUUUACCCCGACCCCUCUGUUACCCCUCAGUAAGGGGUUACCCCUUACCCCGGGGUUACCCACCUCCCUUCGUACCCACCCUUCGUACCCGUUACCCACCAGGUUACCCACCUCCCUCCGUACAAAGCAACAUUUGUAACCACUUACCCCUGCCCCUACCCCUUGGGUAACGCUGAAGGGGGGGUUUACCCCCAGUUUAUGCCAGGGGGUCAAGGACAACAACUCGGGAGAGCCACCCUGCCGAUUGAGCUGCUGGCGUUAACACCGGUAAUCCGACCCGUUGAAGUACUCGUUGGCUUUACACACUGGAAAAGGACAGGGACAGCAAGGUGAGUAGGAGAUUGGAAAUAUGGCUACUCAAAGCUGCACAUCUUGCUGAAACCCGCACGGUUAUCCCCCACGGUUACCACAAAAAACACGCAAGCUGAUACACAUACGUGCAGACCUUACACCUCUCCUGCAAGGUAAGCCUACCUGGCUCGCCUCCAUGCAUGCAGCUCGCUCGAGCUCCACAACUACCACCCCCUCGAUCUACCUGCCCAGGCCCAUGAUCGUCCCAUGCACGUGCAGGCCUCAGUUGGGGGCGCGGCAAGGGAACUUCGAAGGUCGCCUUGGCUGGCAAGUCAUCAUGCUGCGCUUAUCACGUCAUCUUUGGUGAGAGGAGUACGGUAACCAAGUCCUGCCCCACGUACCGGAAUUGAAACCAACACACGUGAGACACUUCUAAGUGUUCCCCUUACAGAGCUUUCGUAAAAUUCCUUAAGUCCAGCGAUUCCGGAUGCGCGCCUGAGAGUUUCCGUACGACUGGCCGCCAAAUGCCGCGCAAACUAAAGAAAUGGUCCAACAUAAAAGCAAGAUAUCACGCUGAGACUGGUUAAUCCUAUCAUAUAUAUUUUAUAGUUUUUAUUAUUGUUCGUUUUUAGUGACAGUUGUAUGUGUAGUGACUCAACGGCGCGGUUGUGCGCGUGCGCGGUGGGCCUUUUGGCCGUCACCAAUUUUCAGAACACGUGAAAAUCCAGACCUAUUUCCCGCGUGAGCUGUCACCAAUUGGCAUGUGCGAAGGCAAUUUCCGAAGGCGUUUUUUGGCUCUCGCCAAAUGGAAAUCAUCAAAUCACCUUGGCAAUACAGUACCUUAUGCUAUGCAAAGGUCCCGGACCCUUAGGGACCCGAUACCAUACGGCAUCCCGGGACCCAUACAUUUCAUUGCAGGUUAUAACGAUGCAAAUGUUGCAAAUAUAUACUAUUAAAUUCGUUAACUCUAAACUGGUAAGCAGAGACCGGAGGUAAGCAGAGACACACGCCACUAGCUUGCAUUCAACUUCUUCAAAACCAUGAGAUCAAAGGAGGUCCAAUAUAUAUAUCAGUGGCAAUCAUAUGGUCGUGUGUCGUUAACUACUUGAUUGACGCUACUUGCACCCAUGCUGAACGAGUCAAUGUCAUUCCUGUCAGCGGAGCAAACGUAAUGAAAACUAUAAAGUGAACCUGCAAAUCCGUGAAAACAGAGAAGCGGCCCGAACCCGGCCCCAACCCGGCUCCCACGGCCUAAGGCUCCGUGCAUUGUAGAAACGCGG
Molecule: long non-coding RNA, 1648 nt
Filed under: Volvox carteri
Lineage: Eukaryota; Viridiplantae; Chlorophyta; Chlorophyceae; Chlamydomonadales; Volvocaceae
Description: long non-coding RNA (VCAR_LNC001680)
Source: RNAcentral